GUAUACAGCUGAAAUGUAAGGGUACAUCUUCACUGAACGUGACCGACUUCGGAGCUAUUUUUGCUGUCAAGAUUUGCUCUGAUGGGAUAUAGGUAUAACUAUCUCUCCGACCUGAGACCGCCACAGUGACUUGCAAGCAACUCACUGCACUUAGGCACUGGACUACCUGAAUUUCUAAUUCAGUGACGGAAGGAUACUGGGUGUAGUCAAGUACUUGACUUGUCGGUGCGUGUGUCAAGAUGGGAUUGAUCACUUCAGUUCAGGAGUUGUGUACAGUCGUGUUUCAAUUUAGCAAAACCUUGGCCAGGGUAGUCCUAGUGAGGAGUCACAGGAUUGUUUGAGUUAAGCACGAUUCGGAUGAUCUAAUCAGGGUUGACAGUUUAACCCUG
RNAcentral lists this long non-coding RNA (389 nucleotides) under Elaeis guineensis (African oil palm). RNAcentral describes it as "long non-coding RNA (EGUI_LNC037677)". The record is from RNAcentral. Lineage: Eukaryota; Viridiplantae; Streptophyta; Magnoliopsida; Arecales; Arecaceae.